AAGGUUUUAAGUUAAAACAAACUAUAAGCCUUCAAAGCUUAACAUAAAGAUACAUCUUUAAACCUUG
This 67-nucleotide transfer RNA is filed under the name Columbella adansoni. Its description in RNAcentral is "tRNA-Trp". The record is from RNAcentral. Lineage: Eukaryota; Metazoa; Mollusca; Gastropoda; Neogastropoda; Columbellidae.